Molecule: long non-coding RNA, 2719 nt
Filed under: Sus scrofa (pig)
Lineage: Eukaryota; Metazoa; Chordata; Mammalia; Artiodactyla; Suidae
Description: lncRNA (ENSSSCG00055006053.1)
Source: RNAcentral
AUUUCAAGCCUUUGUUUAGAUUUUAUUCUUCAGAAAUCAUAACCUUUCAUACUAUGUCUCAAUAGGGGUCUUCAGACUGCAUAAUUGCAUUUCUUACUAUGUAAGUGGUGUUCAGAGAACUGAGUGUGAAGUGAAUAAGGUCAUUCAUUCUACAAAGUAUCCAUAUUUGCCUCAAAACCAUUGAAUUUCCCUUUGUUUUAUCUUGUUAUUUUAUUUUUAAAGAUGCAGAACUAAAGAGGGGAGAUGAAAAGUUUACCCAUAACCAAAAUAUACAAGAUUACAAUCUUGCUCAAGAGCAGAAUAGAGCACUAAAGUUUUGCCUAAGAUGAAUAAACUUCCUUUUUUAUUCUCACUAGGUAUAAGGUUUUAAGCAACUGUGUUAUUAUAUACUGAGAUUAUAUGUUUGAGAUCCUUGGUAAUCUUACACUAAUACUAGUUAGAAUAGGGUAUAGGAAGGACCGGAAAAGAUAACAUUUUAUCUUCAGAUGGUUGUAGCAUUGAAAAAAACAAUGAAUUUCUGUUUUCUUAGCUGUACAUAUGUUUCUUUGGAAUACCCAUCUAUUAAAUAGGUAUUCGUGCAUUCACUGAUCAUUCAGUAAACAUUUAUUGAGCACCUGCCAUAUCUUGCUACGUAUUAUGCUAGGAACAAGGGUAAUAUUAAGAUAAAACCUGGAAGGAUACACACAAAGUGAUUCCAAAAGUCCAUGGUAGGUGCCAGCAUAUAAUCUAAUAGUUAACUUGAAUCUUAGGUAUGCACAAAAUAGAGAACCAUCAACUUUGCUUUGUGGAGGAGCAGGAAGAUGCUCAAGGAGUUUUACAGACAAAUGCUUGGACUGGCUUUGAAAAAAGAGUAGAGUUUUCAGAUAGAAAAGGCACAAAAGGACAUUUUAGAGAGAAGGGAGAGUAUAGGCAAAGGCAUGAUAAUGUAAAAUAAUAUGGGCUAUCCUGAAUAACCACAAAGCUGUUCAUUUUAGUUGGAAAGAGGAGAGUGUUGGACAAGGAGUUUGAAGAGGAAAAUAUGAUUAGUUCAUAGAAGGCUGGAAAUUUAUCCUAUAGAGUUUAUUCUUUAUCUUGAGGAUAAUUGGGAGCUUUUAAAUGUGGAAUAGCAAGACCAAUUUUCAAAAUGUGAAAGGUAAUUUGGUAGGGCCAAGGCUGGGAUAGGGAGAUGAUUCCUCAGGUUGACAUAUGUUAGAGCAUUUUAGAUCAAAGAUUGCAACUCUGGAAAAUAAAGUGGGAUCCGAGUUGCAUCUGUGACCUACACCAUAGCUCACAGCAAUGCUGGAGCCCCGACCCACUGAGUGAGGCCAGGGAUGGAACCUGCAGUCAGAUUUAUUUUUACUGCACUACAGUAGAAACUUCCAUAUGGUUUGUUUUUAAAUGCUUUUAGAAAGAGAGAGAGAGAGAAAGAAAAAACGAAAGAAAAGAAAAAUAAUUUUGUACAGAAGAAAAAGAAUUUCAGGUGGGAUCAUAUCAUUCGUUCAUUUAACUGGCUCAAUUAGGCUAUGAAGUUAUAUCCACAGGGAAAAUGUAGAUUCGCAUAUCCACACUUAGAAAUAUUCCUUCAACAUUCAAUCACCAAGUAUUUACUUAACACAUUAUUAGAGGUUGUUUAUAAGAUACAUUAGCAACAUUAAAAUUAGAACUUUGAAGGAUUUUUUGUGAAAUACUUAGCCAUUUUUUUAUGAUCUCUUGGUCUGCAAAGUAACUACUAUAGCAGGAUCAUAAAGAACUGACUAGAGCUCAAGAGAAGAGAACUAUUAGACUCCAGUCAGUUACCUUUGUCCAGGGCUGCAUGAACUGGUUUGUUCUGUUGGAGGGAACUGAAAUGUGUAUCCAUAGAUCUCACCAUGAUGAAAAAAAAUUUUCCACAGAAAAAGGAACAUCACAGAAAAUUGUCUUUUUCUUCAUCUUCUAAUCGGAAAGUUUGAAACUCUAACCAGUACUGUACCAAGACUGCUCAGGUUCCUGGCCAGUAGAUGGCUCUUUUUUUAAAGCCAAAAUGCUGUCCAAUGUACUAAAUUGAGAAGUUCAGAGUAGACUAUAUCAUAAAGAUGGUUGAAGUAAUGGAACUUAUGUCUUUGAGGCCAUUUCCUUCCUCCCUUUGUGAAUUUGAAUGGAGAGACAAUAUGAAUGUCAAGUGGAUCUUACUUGUCUUUAUAAUUAGGAUGCAAGCUCACCGAGUCUUCCUUUGAUGCUUGCAAAUUUACAUAGACUUUUCUUUCUAUGCCUCCCAAACCCCCUCUGUCCCUCCCUCUCUUCCUUCCUUUGUUUUUUGUCUCUUUAGUACUGCACCCAUGACAAAUGUACGUUCCCAGGCCAUGGGUCAAAUCAGAGCUGCAGCUGCCAGCCUAUGCCACAGCCAAGCAAUGCCAGAUCUGAGCUGUAUCUGUGACCUCUACCAGAGCUCAUGGCAACACCAGAUCCUUAACCCACUGAGCAAGGCCAGGGAUUGAACUUCAUCUUCAUGGAUACCAGUCAGGUUCUUAACCCACUGAGCCACAACGGGCAUUCCUCUACCCUUAUUUUCACAUUUCACUGCGUAACACGCUUUUCCAAUUCUUCUUCUGUAAUACCAUUAAGCAUCUCUCAUAUGAAAAAACUGAGAUUAUUUUAUUUUAAAGCCACAAUUUAUAUCUUAUUCCAAUCCAUAUUAUCUAAAUUAUUAGAUGUCAUCUAUAUUUUAGAUGAUGCUGGUUAAAAGGAGAGCUACAGAAAAAAA